GGAUUAGAUACCCUGGUAGUCCACGCCGUAAACGAUGUCUACUAGUUGUUGGGAGACUUGAUCUCUUAGUAACGAAGCUAACGCGAUAAGUAGACCGCCUGGGGAGUACGGCCGCAAGGUUAAAACUCAAAUGAAUUGACGGGGGCCCGCACAAGCGGUGGAGCAUGUGGUUUAAUUCGAUGCAACGCGAAGAACCUUACCUACACUUGACAUGCAGAGAACUUUCCAGAGAUGGAUUGGUGCCUUCGGGAACUCUGACACAGGUGCUGCAUGGCCGUCGUCAGCUCGUGCCG
Molecule: ribosomal RNA, 293 nt
Filed under: uncultured bacterium
Lineage: Bacteria
Description: partial 16S ribosomal RNA
Rfam family: Bacterial small subunit ribosomal RNA
Source: RNAcentral